Molecule: ribosomal RNA, 400 nt
Filed under: uncultured Acidovorax sp.
Lineage: Bacteria; Pseudomonadati; Pseudomonadota; Betaproteobacteria; Burkholderiales; Comamonadaceae
Description: bacterial SSU rRNA
Rfam family: Bacterial small subunit ribosomal RNA
Source: RNAcentral
GACAUGUACGGAAUCCUUAGAGAUAGAGGAGUGCUCGAAAGAGAACCGUAACACAGGUGCUGCAUGGCUGUCGUCAGCUCGUGUCGUGAGAUGUUGGGUUAAGUCCCGCAACGACGCGCAACCCUUGUCAUUAGUUGCUACAUUCAGUUGGGCACUCUAAUGAGACUGCCGGUGACAAACCGGGAGGAAGGUGGGGAUGACGUCAAGUCCUCAUGGCCCUUAUAGGUGGGGCUACACACGUCAUACAAUGGAUGGUACAAAGGGUCGCCAACCCGCGAGGGGGAGCCAAUCCCAUAAAGCCAUUCGUAGUCCGGAUCGCAGUCUGCAACUCGACUGCGUGAAGUCGGAAUCGCUAGUAAUCGUGGAUCAGAAUGUCACGGUGAAUACGUUCCCGGGUCUU